This 676-nucleotide ribosomal RNA is filed under the name uncultured organism. RNAcentral describes it as "bacterial SSU rRNA". It matches the Rfam family "Bacterial small subunit ribosomal RNA", at positions 767 to 1460 of the family's 1533-position model. The record is from RNAcentral.
AGCAAACAGGAUUAGAUACCCUGGUAGUUCACGCCGUAACGGUUGAUUACUCGUUGUUGGCAAUACACCGUCAGCGACUGAGCAAAAGCAUUAAGUAAUCCACCUGGGGAGUACGUCACCAAUGAUGAAACUCAAAGGAAUUGACGGGGGCCCGCACAAGCGGAGGAACAUGUGGUUUAAUUCGAUGAUACGCGAGGAACCUUACCUGGGCUUAAAUGUUUAGUGAUCGACCGGGAGACCGGUUUGUCCUUCGGGACACUGUACAAGGUGCUGCAUGGUUGUCGUCAGCUCGUGCCGUGAGGUGUCGGGUUAAGUCCCAUAACGAGCGCAACCCCUAUCGCCAGUUGCCAGCACAUAAUGGUGGGAACUCUGGUGAAACUGCCGGUGCAAACCGUGAGGAAGGUGGGGAUGACGUCAAAUCAGCACGCGCCUUAUGUCCAGGGCUACACACGUGUUACAAUGGUCGGUACAACAGGAUGCCAAUCCGCAAGGAUGAGCUAAUCCCAAAAGCCGAUCUUAGUUCGGAUCGGAGUCUGCAAUUCGACUCCGUGAAGUUGAUUCGCUAGUAAUCGCAGAUCAGCAUGCUGCGGUGAUACGUUCCGGCGAUUGUACACACCGCCCGUCAGCCAUGUAGCCGGGGUGCCUGAGUCCGUNACCGUAAGAGCGGCCCAGGUAA